This 949-nucleotide ribosomal RNA is filed under the name Halotalea alkalilenta. RNAcentral describes it as "bacterial SSU rRNA". It matches the Rfam family "Bacterial small subunit ribosomal RNA", at positions 534 to 1490 of the family's 1533-position model. Lineage: Bacteria; Pseudomonadati; Pseudomonadota; Gammaproteobacteria; Oceanospirillales; Halomonadaceae. The record is from RNAcentral.
GNNNNNNCNUAUCGGAUUACUGGGCGUAAGGGCGCGUAGGCGGUCUGUUAAGCCAGAUGUGAAAGCCCCGGGCUCAACCUGGGAACAGCAUUUGGAACUGGCGGACUUGAGUGCAGGAGAGGAAGGUAGAAUUCCCGGUGUAGCGGUGAAAUGCGUAGAGAUCGGGAGGAAUACCAGUGGCGAAGGCGGCCUUCUGGACUGACACUGACGCUGAGGCGCGAAAGCGUGGGUAGCAAACAGGAUUAGAUACCCUGGUAGUCCACGCCGUAAACGAUGUCAACUAGCCGUUGGAUCCCUUGAGGAUUUAGUGGCGCAGCUAACGCACUAAGUUGACCGCCUGGGGAGUACGGCCGCAAGGCUAAAACUCAAAUGAAUUGACGGGGGCCCGCACAAGCGGUGGAGCAUGUGGUUUAAUUCGAUGCAACGCGAAGAACCUUACCUACCCUUGACAUCCAGAGGACCUUCCAGAGAUGGAGGGGUGCCUUCGGGAACUCUGAGACAGGUGCUGCAUGGCUGUCGUCAGCUCGUGUUGUGAAAUGUUGGGUUAAGUCCCGUAACGAGCGCAACCCCUAUCCUUAUUUGCCAGCGAUUCGGUCGGGAACUCUAAGGAGACUGCCGGUGACAAACCGGAGGAAGGUGGGGGACGACGUCAAGUCAUCAUGGCCCUUACGGGUAGGGCUACACACGUGCUACAAUGGCGAGUACAGAGGGUUGCGAAGCGGCGACGUGAAGCCAAUCCCAGAAAGCUCGCCUCAGUCCGGAUUGGAGUCUGCAACUCGACUCCAUGAAGUCGGAAUCGCUAGUAAUCGCGAAUCAGAAUGUCGCGGUGAAUACGUUCCCGGGCCUUGUACACACCGCCCGUCACACCAUGGGAGUGGAUUGCACCAGAAGUGGCUAGUUUAACCUUCGGGAGACGUCACCACGGUGUGUCAUGAUGGGUGUNGGNNNA